Long non-coding RNA from Spodoptera frugiperda (fall armyworm), 619 nucleotides. RefSeq lists it as uncharacterized. The record is from RefSeq and is a predicted model, not a curated record. Lineage: Eukaryota; Metazoa; Arthropoda; Insecta; Lepidoptera; Noctuidae. The transcript has 2 exons.
AGUGCUGUCAAAACAUUAUAAAAUUAACGAAAGUUUUGGUUAUUCAAAUUGUAUUUUAAUUUUAAACGAUAGAAAUUAUGUUUUAAAGGAAAAUUAUGAUUAAAAUAAUAGAAAUAAUGUCUCAUAAGGUUCAUUAUCAAACGUGGCGAAUGUUUACUGGUGGGCUGUGCAUGUGUAUGUUGUUGUUCUCGUUUGUAUUUGGGCCUGUGCACACACUGUUUUCUUUCGAGCGUGGAGCAGACAACACGAACAUAUCAAAAAUAAUGAAAACCGAGCCGGGAUACGCAAAUCUUCUCAUCAUAAUAACAUCACAAAUGUGGCUUAUGUUUGUAUCAAAUCUAUGCCUGCUAGUAUCAGUAAUCAAUGAAAGGAAAUGUGGACUAGAUUGGUUUUUAAAUUUCACCCUUAUUAAUAUGGUCAUAGCGUUUAUGUCAACUAUUUAUUUUAUAAUACAUUGCAACUUUGUUGAUAUACAAUGUUUUGAUCACACGCCUGGCAGGGUGGGCAAUGAUCGUGCUUACAUCAUUACGCUGGGUGUAUUGUGCUUAAUGUAUUUGUUGCUUCUGUGCAUGUAUUCCUAUGUUGUUUAUAAAUACAGACAGCAUCUGAAAGUUAUGUA